CCAAGGGGCCUGCCGGCGCCUGCUCUCCUUUCGGAGCGCUAAUCUGACCUCAAGAAAACUUUAGCUGGGCGAGGGAACGAGGCUGCUCCAAAAGAGUACGGCUCCCUUGCGUAAGGCCUUAAGCAUAUGUGUUGAUCAGCCGCAAGUUAACAAUUUUGAAUUAAACUGAAUGGUAUCUUUUGGUAUCAGCUUAGUGAGUCCCACAUUUUAGGAGCUUUUUUUGCUUGCCUCUGACAGUUUCUUCGUAGUCAGGUGUUGCUGCAGGGAGCCUCUGGGAGUCCAAGGGUGGAGAGAUCUGCCUUCAUCUGAAGAUCUCUGCUAA
This 322-nucleotide long non-coding RNA is filed under the name Cyanistes caeruleus (blue tit). Its description in RNAcentral is "lncRNA (ENSCCEG00000013711.1)". Lineage: Eukaryota; Metazoa; Chordata; Aves; Passeriformes; Paridae. The record is from RNAcentral.